AGGAUACAACCACAAUGGAAAAUUGAAAACUGUAAAUAAAGAAUAAGGAAGCUCCUUAGGUACUGAAAUGAUCUGGUGGGUACAGUACAUAAGUGGAAACAAGCUUUGGAAUUUUUAGAUGAAUGUGUUGCCUAUUCAAAAAAUAAAUACAUAAAAUAUGUAGAAAGGAUGAGAUUGGAAGAAAAGGUGAUCAGAACAUCAAAAUAAACGAAGACACCAUUACUCCUCUCAAGAACUCACUAUGUAGCAAGAGAGACAGCUAAAGAAGAAAUUACAACACUGGCCUUGGGUCUCUGGAGUAAUGAGAGCUGUGAUACAGAGACCUGCACAGCUGGCAAGAGUGCCCAUAGGAGCGGGGCCUUCAAAACGGAACCGCUAAACUGAGUAAUCAUGGAAUGUUCAUCCUGCAGGAAGCGUGAACAAAACGAGGUCGUACCGACUGAGAAGUUGGUGGCGUGAUUCCCGCGAGAAUUGACGAGAUCGAGUCUUGGGCAAGGGUGGUGGGAGGAGGCCCCCGGGGCGGAAGGCGCUUGGCUCCCCUCCGAGCCCCUCUGUGAGGGCGGGGCAGGAAAGAAUGGCCUAAAAGCCUUGACUUGGCGGUGUGAUUGCCCAAGACCGAGGGAAGAGGAAGAGGCCAGCGGGGAGGACAAGAAAUUCAGUUCCGGGUGUGGAUUGGAGGGGUUUGGGGGAGAUCCAGGCAGGAUGGAUGACUAAUUGGGUGGACACGUGAAUCGCGCUGGGGAAGGGGUCUGGCCCGAGCAUGGAUUGGUGAGCGUGGGCGCCAGGUGGUAGGGGGUGGUGGAUGAUGCACCAAAACAGAGCGGGUAACAAAGUGAGAAGGGUGCCAAGUCCGAAACCUGGAAUGUUGCCCCCUCUAGCCGGUCAGGAGACUUAAAGAGGAAAGAGACCUGGUGACGGACUGAGAAAGAGGAUUCCCAGAGCGGGGGAUGGGGGUUAGGGGGCUAGGAGAGAGUGGGGUCUUGGAACUCACCGAAGCUGCCUUUGGAAAUGGGACCCAGACCGUUUGCAGAGCACUUCCAACCCAAGAGUUUACGUGGUCCUCCCAAUAGCAAGGUAAAUAGAAGUACCUACUGGAAACCAGGCUCAGCUAACCAGCUGGCCCCACUAUAAACUGCUAGUUGAUAGCAGUACUGAACCCAGAUUUUCUGACACCAUGGCCAGGACUCUCUUCACUACCCAGCUUUCUUUUGGUUAAAGAAAAAAAAAGUUCCUCCUACCCUUUAUGAUGUACAAAGUCAGCAGGUUCUCCCAACCUGCUGGUUCUCCCCAACCCCACCUUCAAACCUUUGUUUGUGUAUAGUCCUUUGAUCCUAGAUGGCCCACCUCUUUUCCUCUUUGCUGGUCUAAAUUCUACUCCUUCAAGCUCUUGCUUAAAUCCCUCAGUAAAGCCUCCCCUGAGGAUUCCAAUUCACUCUGACUUCUCUUUUUUUUUUUUUUAGAUUCCUGUGGCAAAUACACCUUCCAGUGACAUCUCACACACACACACACACACACACACACACACACACCUUCCCGAGAGUCACACACUCGUAUAAUCUCCCACUGCGGGGGGCGG
Herpailurus yagouaroundi (jaguarundi) is the source of this 1576-nucleotide long non-coding RNA. RefSeq lists it as uncharacterized. The transcript has 3 exons. The record is from RefSeq and is a predicted model, not a curated record. Lineage: Eukaryota; Metazoa; Chordata; Mammalia; Carnivora; Felidae.